Molecule: small nucleolar RNA, 95 nt
Filed under: Erinaceus europaeus (western European hedgehog)
Lineage: Eukaryota; Metazoa; Chordata; Mammalia; Eulipotyphla; Erinaceidae
Description: Small nucleolar RNA SNORD116
Rfam family: Small nucleolar RNA SNORD116
About the family: HBII-85 is a member of the C/D class of snoRNAs, which contain the C (UGAUGA) and D (CUGA) box motifs.
Source: Rfam by way of RNAcentral
GGAUCAAUGAUGACUCCCCUCAAAAGCAUUCCUUGGAAAUCUGAACAAAAUGAGUGAGAACUCACCACUGUCAAACUCAUCGGAAGCUGAGGUCC